Molecule: small RNA, 551 nt
Filed under: Pongo abelii (Sumatran orangutan)
Lineage: Eukaryota; Metazoa; Chordata; Mammalia; Primates; Hominidae
Description: sense intronic
Source: RNAcentral
GAGAGCUCAUCCUAACCUCCAGUGCUGGGAUUUCACAAAAUGAAAAUACCUUAAAUAUGCAACAGUGUUAGCAAAUGAACAGCAACAGAGAAAAAUCAUUUCUUCCCCUUUUUUGUCUCCAUCUUCAAACUUUAAUUUAAAACAACUAUUUUUACAUAAACUACAAAGUCACAGCCAGCAGCAUGUGCAGCAGAGACAGAUAGCCUGAGGUUGCCCAGGGACUUUUCAUUUUAUCUUUGCGCAGACCUAGCACUGCCUGCCAGGUAAAACUAGUGUAACGAGGGCUCCGGCGUCUCUACCACGCGUCAGCCCUGCCGAGGCCAAGAUGAGCACGCUGAUAACGCGGGCUGCCUGACAGCCAGGGGAGAUUCUGUAAAUCAUGCUGCUCCCAUUGAUUACAGUCGGGAAGAGCAUUAACCCUCCUUCACCCCGAGAUACGCUGUCUCCACAAGUGUUUGUAACAUCAACAUGUUACGGGAGCUUUUGGAAGAUGAAUUCAUUGCUAGAGAGAAGACCCCUUCGCAAAAUAAAGAAAUGCCAACAAGCCUGAG